GGGGAAUCUUGGACAAUGGGGGCAACCCUGAUCCAGCGAUGCCGCGUGGGUGAAGAAGGCCUUCGGGUUGUAAAGCCCUUUAGGCUGGGAAGAAGUGUGCGGGAUGAAUAAUCCUGUAUGUUGACGGUACCAGCAGAAUAAGCACCGGCAAACUCUGUGCCAGCAGCCGCGGUAAUACAGAGGGUGCAAGCGUUAAUCGGAUUUACUGGGCGUAAAGGGCGCGUAGGCGGUUGAGUGAGUGUGAUGUGAAAGCCCCGGGCUUAACCUGGGAAGUGCAUCGCAAACGACUUAACUGGAGUAGGUGAGAGGGUGGCGGAAUUUCCGGUGUAGCGGUGAAAUGCGUAGAGAUCGGAAGGAACGUCAAUGGCGAAGGCAGCCACCUGGCACCAUACUGACGCUGAGGCGCGAAAGCGUGGGGAGCGAAC
Molecule: ribosomal RNA, 425 nt
Filed under: uncultured bacterium
Lineage: Bacteria
Description: bacterial SSU rRNA
Rfam family: Bacterial small subunit ribosomal RNA
Source: RNAcentral